Molecule: ribosomal RNA, 1341 nt
Filed under: Salmonella enterica
Lineage: Bacteria; Pseudomonadati; Pseudomonadota; Gammaproteobacteria; Enterobacterales; Enterobacteriaceae
Description: partial 23S ribosomal RNA
Rfam family: Bacterial large subunit ribosomal RNA
Source: RNAcentral
UAAGCCUGUGAAGGUGUGUCGUGAGGCAUGCUGGAGGUAUCAGAAGUGCGAAUGCUGACAUAAGUAACGAUAAAGCGGGUGAAAAGCCCGCUCGCCGGAAGACCAAGGGUUCCUGUCCAACGUUAAUCGGGGCAGGGUGAGUCGACCCCUAAGGCGAGGCCGAAAGGCGUAGUCGAUGGGAAACGGGUUAAUAUUCCCGUACUUGGUGUUACUGCGAAGGGGGGACGGAGAAGGCUAUGUUGGCCGGGCGACGGUUGUCCCGGUUUAAGCGUGUAGGUGUGUGUUCCAGGUAAAUCCGGUUCACUUUAACACUGAGGCGUGACGACGAGGCACUACGGUGCUGAAGCAACAAAUGCCCUGCUUCCAGGAAAAGCCUCUAAGCAUCAGGUAACAUCAAAUCGUACCCCAAACCGACACAGGUGGUCAGGUAGAGAAUACCAAGGCGCUUGAGAGAACUCGGGUGAAGGAACUAGGCAAAAUGGUGCCGUAACUUCGGGAGAAGGCACGCUGACACGUAGGUGAAGUGAUUUACUCAUGGAGCUGAAGUCAGUCGAAGAUACCAGCUGGCUGCAACUGUUUAUUAAAAACACAGCACUGUGCAAACACGAAAGUGGACGUAUACGGUGUGACGCCUGCCCGGUGCCGGAAGGUUAAUUGAUGGGGUCAGCGCAAGCGAAGCUCCUGAUCGAAGCCCCGGUAAACGGCGGCCGUAACUAUAACGGUCCUAAGGUAGCGAAAUUCCUUGUCGGGUAAGUUCCGACCUGCACGAAUGGCGUAAUGAUGGCCAGGCUGUCUCCACCCGAGACUCAGUGAAAUUGAACUCGCUGUGAAGAUGCAGUGUACCCGCGGCAAGACGGAAAGACCCCGUGAACCUUUACUAUAGCUUGACACUGAACAUUGAGCCUUGAUGUGUAGGAUAGGUGGGAGGCUUUGAAGUGUGGACGCCAGUCUGCAUGGAGCCGACCUUGAAAUACCACCCUUUAAUGUUUGAUGUUCUAACGUGGACCCGUGAUCCGGGUUGCGGACAGUGUCUGGUGGGUAGUUUGACUGGGGCGGUCUCCUCCUAAAGAGUAACGGAGGAGCACGAAGGUUGGCUAAUCCUGGUCGGACAUCAGGAGGUUAGUGCAAUGGCAUAAGCCAGCUUGACUGCGAGCGUGACGGCGCGAGCAGGUGCGAAAGCAGGUCAUAGUGAUCCGGUGGUUCUGAAUGGAAGGGCCAUCGCUCAACGGAUAAAAGGUACUCCGGGGAUAACAGGCUGAUACCGCCCAAGAGUUCAUAUCGACGGCGGUGUUUGGCACCUCGAUGUCGGCUCAUCACAUCCUGGGGCUGAAGUAGGUCCCA